GAUGAAGCCCGCUUUUAGUGGGUGGAUUAGUGGCGAACGGGUGAGUAACACGUAGGUGACCUGCCCCAGAGAGGAGAAUAACCAUGCGAAAGCGUGGCUAAUACUCCGUACGGUCGGCCAUUCAGUUGGUCGAUUAAAGCUUCGGCGCUCUGGGAGGGGCCUGCGGCCCAUCAGCUAGUUGGUAGGGUAAAGGCCUACCAAGGCGAUGACGGGUAGCUGGUCUGAGAGGAUGAUCAGCCACAAUGGGACUGAAACACGGCCCAUACUCCUACGGGAGGCAGCAGUGAGGAAUAUUGGACAAUCGACGAAAGUUGGAUCCAGCAACGCCGCGUGGAUGAUGAAGGCCUUCGGGUUGUAAAAUCCUUUUAAGAGGGAAGAGGAAGGACGGUACCUCUUGAAUAAGUCUCGGCUAACUACGUGCCAGCAGCCGCGGUAACACGUAGGAGGCAAGCGUUAUCCGGAUUUAUUGGGCGUAAAGCGCGCGCAGGCGGCCAGAUAAGUCGGGUGUGAAAGCUCCGAACUCAAUUCGGAGAGGUCAUUCGAUACUGUUUGGCUUGAGAGCGGGAGAGGGAAGUAGAAUUCUGGGUGUAGUGGUGAAAUGCGUAGAUAUCCAGAGGAAUACCAGUGGCGAAAGCGGCUUCCUGGCCCGUUUCUGACGCUGAGGUGCGAAAGCGUGGGUAGCGAACGGAAUUAGAAACUCCGGUAGUCCACGCCGUAAACGAUGGGUACUAGGUGUGGGGAGUAUUAACCCUCUCCGUGCCGAAGCAAACGCGUUAAGUACCCCGCCUGCAGACUACGGCC
RNAcentral lists this ribosomal RNA (801 nucleotides) under uncultured bacterium. RNAcentral describes it as "bacterial SSU rRNA". It matches the Rfam family "Bacterial small subunit ribosomal RNA", at positions 68 to 887 of the family's 1533-position model. The record is from RNAcentral.